CCUACGGGAGGCAGCAGUGGGGAAUAUUGCACAAUGGGGGAAACCCUGAUGCAGCGACGCCGCGUGAGUGAAGAAGUAUUUCGGUACGUAAAGCUCUAUCAGCAGGGAAGAAAAAAAGUCCUUUGGACUUUGGACGGUACCUGACCAAGAAGCCCCGGCUAACUACGUGCCAGCAGCCGCGGUAAUACGUAGGGGGCAAGCGUUAUCCGGAUUUACUGGGUGUAAAGGGAGCGUAGACGGCAGCGCAAGUCUGGAGUGAAAUGCCGGGGCCCAACCCCGGAACUGCUUUGGAACCUGUGCAGCUGGAGUGCAGGAGAGGUAGGCGGAAUGCCUAGUGUAGCGGGGAAAUGCGUAGAUAUUAGGAGGAACACCAGGGGCGAAGGCGGCUUAUUGGACUGUAACUGACGUUGAGGCUCGAAAGCGUGGGGAGCAAACAGGAUUAGAUACCCGGGUAGUC
This 457-nucleotide ribosomal RNA is filed under the name uncultured bacterium. RNAcentral describes it as "partial 16S ribosomal RNA". It matches the Rfam family "Bacterial small subunit ribosomal RNA", at positions 338 to 795 of the family's 1533-position model. The record is from RNAcentral.